Molecule: ribosomal RNA, 500 nt
Filed under: uncultured bacterium
Lineage: Bacteria
Description: partial 16S ribosomal RNA
Rfam family: Bacterial small subunit ribosomal RNA
Source: RNAcentral
AUUGAACGCUGGCGGCAUGCCUUACACAUGCAAGUCGAACGGUAACGGGUCCUUCGGGAUGCCGACGAGUGGCGAACGGGUGAGUAAUAUAUCGGAACGUGCCCAGUAGUGGGGGAUAACUGCUCGAAAGAGCAGCUAAUACCGCAUACGACCUGAGGGUGAAAGGGGGGGAUCGCAAGACCUCGCGCUAUUGGAGCGGCCGAUAUCAGAUUAGCUAGUUGGUGGGGUAAAGGCCUACCAAGGCAACGAUCUGUAGUUGGUCUGAGAGGACGACCAGCCACACUGGGACGGAGACACGGCCCAGACUCCUACGGGAGGCAGCAGUGGGGAAUUUUGGACAAUUGGCGCAAGCCUGAUCCAGCAAUGCCGCGUGCAGGAAGAAGGCCUUCGGGUUGUAAACUGCUUUUGUCAGGGAAGAAAUCUUCUGGGCUAAUACCCCGGGAGGAUGACGGUACCUGAAGAAUAAGCACCGGCUAACUACGUGCCAGCAGCCGCGGUAA